UACGUAGGUGGCAAGCGUUGUCCGGAUUUAUUGGGUUUAAAGGGUGCGUAGGCGGCCUAUUAAGUCAGUGCUGAAAUAUCCCGGCUUAACCGGGAGGGUGGCAUUGAUACUGAUGGGCUUGAGUAGAGUCGAGGUUGGCGGAAUUGACGGUGUAGCGGUGAAAUGCUUAGAUAUCGUCAAGAACACCUAUUGCGAAGGCAGCUAACUAAGCUCAAACUGACGCUGAGGCACGAAAGUGUGGGGAUCAAACAGG
Molecule: ribosomal RNA, 253 nt
Filed under: uncultured bacterium
Lineage: Bacteria
Description: partial 16S ribosomal RNA
Rfam family: Bacterial small subunit ribosomal RNA
Source: RNAcentral